GAUGAAGAACGUAGCGAAAUGCGAUAAGUAGUGUGAAUUGCAGAAUUCAGUGAAUCAUCGAAUCUUUGAACGCACAUUGCGCCCCUUGGUAUUCCAUGGGGCAUGCCUGUUCGAGCGUCAUUUGUACCUUCAAGCUCUGCUUGGUGUUGGGUGUUUGUCUCGCCUCUGCGUGUAGACUCGCCUCAAAACAAUUGGCAGCCGGCGUAUUGAUUUCGGAGCGCAGUACAUCUCGCGCUUUGCACUCAUAACGACGACGUCCAAAAGUACAUUUUUACACUCUUGACCUCGGAUCAGGUAGGGAUACCCGCUGAACUUGAGCAUAUCAAUAAGCGGAGGA
This 337-nucleotide unclassified non-coding RNA is filed under the name soil metagenome. Its description in RNAcentral is "partial contains 5.8S ribosomal RNA, internal transcribed spacer 2, and large subunit ribosomal RNA". The stretch from base 1 to 120 matches the Rfam family "5.8S ribosomal RNA", at positions 35 to 154 of the family's 154-position model. The record is from RNAcentral.